GGAAUAUAAAAAUCCGUCUCUUAACUUUUAAUUUAAAAAACUAAGAAUUGGCUCUUUAAUAAUAUUUUUAAGAACCGGUUUUUAGUUUUUAGUUAAAAAUUAAGAGACGGGUUUUUAUAUUUC
MicroRNA precursor from Brassica oleracea var. oleracea, 123 nucleotides. It matches the Rfam family "MIR9563 microRNA precursor family". The record is from Rfam. Lineage: Eukaryota; Viridiplantae; Streptophyta; Magnoliopsida; Brassicales; Brassicaceae.